This 132-nucleotide long non-coding RNA is filed under the name Fukomys damarensis (Damara mole-rat). Its description in RNAcentral is "lncRNA (ENSFDAG00000031299.1)". Lineage: Eukaryota; Metazoa; Chordata; Mammalia; Rodentia; Bathyergidae. The record is from RNAcentral.
AAGAGUUAGCAAGAAGUCGCUACCCUGCAGGCAACGUUGUGACAUCUCCAGAGAAAUGAUUACACUGGGAAGAAUGACAUAGUAGCCGGCAAUGGGUGUCAGACUGCAACACAGAGAGGGAAAUGAUGCGAA